Molecule: ribosomal RNA, 492 nt
Filed under: uncultured bacterium
Lineage: Bacteria
Description: partial 16S ribosomal RNA
Rfam family: Bacterial small subunit ribosomal RNA
Source: RNAcentral
AGUGAACGCUGGCGGUAGGCCUAACACAUGCAAGUCGAACGGCAGCACAGUAAGAGCUUGCUCUUACGGGUGGCGAGUGGCGGACGGGUGAGGAAUACAUCGGAAUCUACUUUUUCGUGGGGGAUAACGUAGGGAAACUUACGCUAAUACCGCAUACGACCUACGGGUGAAAGCAGGGGAUCUUCGGACCUUGCGCGAUUGAAUGAGCCGAUGUCGGAUUAGCUAGUUGGCGGGGUAAAGGCCCACCAAGGCGACGAUCCGUAGCGGGUCUCAGAGGAUGAUCAGCCACACUGGAACUGAGACACGGUCCAGACUCCUACGGGAGGCAGCAGUGGGGAAUAUUGGACAAUGGGCGCAAGCCUGAUCCAGCCAUACCGCGUGGGUGAAGAAGGCCUUCGGGUUGUAAAGCCCUUUUGUUGGGAAAGAAAAGCAGCAGGUUAAUACCCCGCUGUUCUGACGGUACCCAAAGAAUAAGCACCGGCUAACUUCGUG